Molecule: long non-coding RNA, 324 nt
Filed under: Heterocephalus glaber (naked mole-rat)
Lineage: Eukaryota; Metazoa; Chordata; Mammalia; Rodentia; Bathyergidae
Description: lncRNA (ENSHGLG00100033032.1)
Source: RNAcentral
CUGAAAUUAUGGAGGAGCUAGAGACCAAUACACUAUGUACUUUGCCUCUGAAGGCAUGUCUGAAGAUUCCAUUGCAGGAGCCAUGGCUUGUUUGAAGUGUCAACUAGUUCCACUUGAGCAGUACCAGGGAUCGAACUCGGGACCUUGUGCUUGCGAGGCAGGCGCUGGAACCACUGAGCUAAAUCCCCGGCCCUCUCAGCCCAAUAUUUAUCAAGAAGAAAAGAAAAUGAAAUCCUCAGUAUUUUUUUCCCCCCUAGUACUGGGGAUUGAACUCAGGACCUUGUGCUCAUGAGGCAGGCGUGGCACCACUGAGCUAAAUACCUG